UCGAGCGAUUUUCUUCGGAAGAGAGCGGCGGACGGGUGAGUAACGCGUGGGUAACCUGCCCUGUACACACGGAUAACAUACCGAAAGGUAUGCUAAUACGGGAUAACAUAAGAAAGUCGCAUGGCUUUCUUAUCAAAGCUUUUGCGGUACAGGAUGGACCCGCGUCUGAUUAGCUAGUUGGUAAGGUAACGGCUUACCAAGGCGACGAUCAGUAGCCGACCUGAGAGGGUGAUCGGCCACAUUGGAACUGAGACACGGUCCAAACUCCUACGGGAGGCAGCAGUGGGGAAUAUUGCACAAUGGGCGAAAGCCUGAUGCAGCAACGCCGCGUGAGCGAUGAAGGCCUUCGGGUCGUAAAGCUCUGUCCUCAAGGAAGAUAAUGACGGUACUUGAGGAGGAAGCCCCGGCUAACUACGUGCCAGCAGCCGCGGUAAUACGUAGGGGGCUAGCGUUAUCCGGAAUUACUGGGCGUAAAGGGUGCGUAGGCGGUCUUUCAAGUCAGAAGUGAAAGGCUACGGCUCAACCGUAGUAAGCUUUUGAAACUGUAAGACUUGAGUGCAGGAGAGGAGAGUGGAAUUCCUAGUGUAGCGGUGAAAUGCGUAGAUAUUAGGAGGACACCAGUUGCGAAGGCGGCUCUCUGGACUGUA
This 647-nucleotide ribosomal RNA is filed under the name uncultured Clostridium sp. Its description in RNAcentral is "bacterial SSU rRNA". It matches the Rfam family "Bacterial small subunit ribosomal RNA", at positions 62 to 738 of the family's 1533-position model. Lineage: Bacteria; Bacillati; Bacillota; Clostridia; Eubacteriales; Clostridiaceae. The record is from RNAcentral.